GUGCCAGCAGCCGCGGUAAUACUGAGGGUGCAAGCGUUAAUCGGAAUUACUGGGCGUAAAGCGUGCGUAGGCGGUUUAUUAAGUCAGAUGUGAAAGCCCCGGGCUUAACCUGGGAACUGCAUUUGAAACUGGUCAACUAGAGUAUGGUAGAGGAAAGUGGAAUUUCUGGUGUAGCGGUGAAAUGCGUAGAUAUCAGAAGGAACAUCAAUGGCGAAGGCAGCUUUCUGGACCAAUACUGGCGCUAAGGUACGAAAGCGUGGGUAGCAAACAGGAUUAGAUACCCUGGUAGUCCACGCCGUAAACGAUGAUAACUAGCCGUUGGGGGGAUUUACCCCUUAGUGGCGAAGCUAACGCGUUAAGUUAUCCGCCUGGGGAGUACGGCCGCAAGGCUAAAACUCAAAGGAAUUGACGGGGACCCGCACAAGCGGUGGAGCAUGUGGUUUAAUUCGAUGCAACGCGAAGAACCUUACCUGGUCUUGACAUCCUGCGAACUUUCUAGAAAUAGAUUGGUGCCUUCGGGAACGCAGUGACAGGUGCUGCAUGGCUGUCGUCAGCUCGUGUCGUGAGAUGUUGGGUUAAGUCCCGUAACGAGCGCAACCCCUAUCCUUAUUUGCCAGCACAUUAUGGUGGGAACUAUAAGGAGACUGCCGGUGAUAAACCGGAGGAAGGCGGGGACGACGUCAAGUCAUCAUGGCCCUUACGACCAGGGCUACACACGUGCUACAAUGGGAAGGACAAAGAGUCGCGAAGCCGCGAGGUGUAGCUAAUCUCACAAAUCUUUUCGUAGUCCGGAUUGGAGUCUGCAACUCGACUCCAUGAAGUCGGAAUCGCUAGUAAUCGUAGAUCAGAAUGCUACGGUGAAUACGUUCCCGGGUCUUGUACACACCGCCCGUCAUACCAUGGGAGUGGGUUGCACCAGAAGUGGCUAGUCUAACUUUGUGAGGACGGUCACCACGGUGUGAUUCAUGACUGGGGUAA
Molecule: ribosomal RNA, 978 nt
Filed under: uncultured marine microorganism
Description: bacterial SSU rRNA
Rfam family: Bacterial small subunit ribosomal RNA
Source: RNAcentral